AUUAGCGGCGGACGGGUGAGUAACACGUGGGUAACCUGCCUGUAAGAUUGGGAUAACUCCGGGAAACCGGAGCUAAUACCGGAUAACAUUUUGAACCGCAUGGUUCAAAAUUGAAAGAUGGUUUCGGCUAUCACUUACAGAUGGACCCGCGGCGCAUUAGCUAGUUGGUGAGGUAACGGCUCACCAAGGCAACGAUGCGUAGCCGACCUGAGAGGGUGAUCGGCCACACUGGGACUGAGACACGGCCCAGACUCCUACGGGAGGCAGCAGUAGGGAAUCUUCCGCAAUGGACGAAAGUCUGACGGAGCAACGCCGCGUGAACGAUGAAGGCCUUCGGGUCGUAAAGUUCUGUUGUUAGGGAAGAACAAGUACCAGAGUAACUGCUGGUACCUUGACGGUACCUAACCAGAAAGCCACGGCUAACUACGUGCCAGCAGCCGCGGUAAUACGUAGGUGGCAAGCGUUGUCCGGAAUUAUUGGGCGUAAAGCGCGCGCAGGUGGUUUCUUAAGUCUGAUGUGAAAGCCCACGGCUCAACCGUGGAGGGUCAUUGGAAACUGGGGAACUUGAGUGCAGAANAGGAAAGUGGAAUUCCAAGUGUAGCGGUGAAAUGCGUAGAGAUUUGGAGGAACACCAGUGGCGAAGGCGACUUUCUGGUCUGUAACUGACACUGAGGCGCGAAAGCGUGGGGAGCGAACAGGAUUAGAUACCCUGGUAGUCCACGCCGUAAACGAUGAGUGCUAAGUGUUA
RNAcentral lists this ribosomal RNA (748 nucleotides) under Bacillus sp. 783. RNAcentral's name for it is "bacterial SSU rRNA". It matches the Rfam family "Bacterial small subunit ribosomal RNA", at positions 91 to 825 of the family's 1533-position model. Lineage: Bacteria; Bacillati; Bacillota; Bacilli; Caryophanales; Bacillaceae. The record is from RNAcentral.